UACCCAAUUUCAGGGAGAAUCUUAUCUCACUUAGCAGACUGGAUUCGAGAGGCUACAGGACGGUAGCUGGUGGAGGAAUCCUGAGGGUGCUACGCGGCAAUAGGAUUGUGCUGGAGGGGAAGAAGGGGAGCAGAGGACAUUAUUACCUGACGGGGAGCCCAGUGCGAGGUGGAGCUUCGGGAGCCAGGUGGAGCCCAGAGCGAGGUGGAGCUCCAGGAGGUG
This 222-nucleotide long non-coding RNA is filed under the name Elaeis guineensis (African oil palm). RNAcentral's name for it is "long non-coding RNA (EGUI_LNC053160)". The record is from RNAcentral. Lineage: Eukaryota; Viridiplantae; Streptophyta; Magnoliopsida; Arecales; Arecaceae.